RNAcentral lists this ribosomal RNA (835 nucleotides) under uncultured archaeon. RNAcentral describes it as "bacterial SSU rRNA". It matches the Rfam family "Archaeal small subunit ribosomal RNA", at positions 85 to 922 of the family's 1478-position model. The record is from RNAcentral.
ACGGCUCAGUAACACGUGGAUAAUCUGCCCUUAGGUGGAGGAUAAUCUCGGGAAACUGAGGAUAAUACUCCAUAGAUCUAGGAUGCUGGAAUGCAUCUAGAUUGAAAGCUCCGGCGCCUAAGGAUGAGUCUGCGGACUAUCAGGUUGUAGUCAGGGUAAAGACCUGACUAGCCUACGACGGAUACGGGUUGUGAGAGCAAUAACCCGGAGACGAUAUCUGAGACACGAUAUCGGGCCCUACGGGGCGCAGCAGGCGCGAAAACUUCACACUGUGCGAAAGCGCGAUGAGGGAAUCCCAAGUGUUUGCUCGUAAGAGUAAACUGUUUCUUUGUUUAAAACGCAGAGAGAGUAAGGGCUGGGUAAGACGGGUGCCAGCCGCCGCGGUAAUACCUGCAGCUCAAGUGGUGAUCAUUAUUAUUGGGCCUAAAACGUCCGUAGCCGGUUUAGUAAAUGCCUGGGUAAAUCGUGUAGCUUAACUAUACGACUUCCGGGUAGACUGCUAAACUUGAGACCGGGUGAGGCUAGAGGUACUCCUGGGGUAGAGGUGAAAUUCUGUAAUCCUAGGGGGACCACCAGUGGCGAAGGCGUCUAGCUAGAACGGGUCUGACGGUGAGGGACGAAGCCCUGGGGCACAAACCGGAUUAGAUACCCGGGUAGUCCAGGGUGUAAACGCUGCUUGCUUGAUGUUAGUUGGGCUCCGAGCCCAACUAGUGUCGGAGAGAAGUUGUUAAGCAAGCUGCCUGGGAAGUACGGUCGCAAGGCUGAAACUUAAAGGAAUUGGCGGGGGAGCACAGCAACGGGUGGAGCGUGCGGUUUAAUUGGAUUCAACGCCGGA